Molecule: ribosomal RNA, 253 nt
Filed under: uncultured bacterium
Lineage: Bacteria
Description: partial 16S ribosomal RNA
Rfam family: Bacterial small subunit ribosomal RNA
Source: RNAcentral
UACGUAGGUGGCAAGCGUUGUCCGGAUUUAUUGGGUUUAAAGGGUGCGUAGGUGGCCCUGUAAGUCAGUGGUGAAAUAUCUCAGCUUAACUGAGAGGGUGCCAUUGAUACUGCAGGGCUUGAGUACAGAUGAGGUAGGCGGAAUUGACGGUGUAGCGGUGAAAUGCAGAGAUAUCGUCAAGAACACCGAUAGCGAAGGCAGCUUACCAAGCUGUAACUGACACUGAGGCACGAAAGUGUGGGGAUCAAACAGG